Spinacia oleracea (spinach) is the source of this 3297-nucleotide RNA transcript. It is a transcript of the gene named protein FAR1-RELATED SEQUENCE 11, with no coding region annotated. NCBI's taxonomy places the organism in Eukaryota, Viridiplantae, Streptophyta, Magnoliopsida, Caryophyllales, Amaranthaceae. The record is from RefSeq and is a predicted model, not a curated record. The transcript has 7 exons.
CAUAGGAUUAACUCUGGACGGACCUCCAAAUUCCUGUACCUAGACCACCUACAAACUUACCCUAACAAGUAACAACCCACCUGCAAAAUUGUAAGGUACCAACAACCACAAAUUGUCGGAAAUUCGAAAGUGGUUGCCGGCGGCGAUCCGCAAAAGGACUCGACACAGCAAAAGCUUAAUUACAGCAAUAAAGACAAGCUGAUUUGGCCGCAAAGCUGAAAAUGAGUGAGUGUAGAAUUCGACUGAUGAUCUGAAAUACAAUUUUGAUUAUUUAGGUCAAAAUUUGAUUGAAUUCUGUAUGUUGGGUUUUGCAUUUGGUAAUUUUGUUGGCAAAAAUGUCAGUAGUUUCGGUGGUUGAUAUGGGUUGUGAUGAAGAUGAUAGGGAUUCAAUGGUGGUCUAUGACGAUCCCUCGGAUGAGAGGUGUUUGUCUUUGGAUGAUACAAGUAGUGCCGAUGAUUCAGCUAACGAGACUGGGCUUACAUUAGAAGUCACAAAUGAUAUUGUUCCUUAUAUAGGUCAGAGGUUUAGUUCACAUGAUUCUGCUUAUGAAUUCUAUAGUGAUUUUGCAAAGAGAUGUGGAUUUUCAAUUAGGCGGCAUCGAACCGAAGGGAAGGAUGGUGUUGGAAAAGGGUUAACUAGGCGUUACUUCGUUUGCCAUCGUGCUGGGAAUACACCGGUUAAGGUUGCGAAUGAGAAUAAGCCCCAAAGGAACAGGAAAUCUUCACGUUGUGGUUGUCAAGCGUACUUGAGAAUUAGCAAGACAACUGAAUUAGGUCUUUCUGAAUGGCGUGUCACUGGUUUUGUUGAUCAUCAUAACCAUGAUUUGUUGGAACCCAAUCAGGUCCGUUUCUUGCCUGCUUACCGAAAUAUAUCGGAUACUGAUAAAACCCGCAUCUUUAUGUAUGCAAAGACUGGAAUUUCUGUACAGCAGAUGAUGAGGCUGUUGGAGCUAGAGAAAUCUGUACAACCUGGAUACCUUCCUUUUACAGAGAAGGAUGUUCGGAACUUAAUCCAGUCGUUUAGGAAAAUGGAUCCGGAAGAGGACACUAUAGACCUCUUAAAAAUGUGCACUAACAUUAGGGACAAGGAUUCUAACUUUAGAUUUGACUACACUUUGGAUUCAAACAACAAUUUAGAGAACAUUUCGUGGUCCUAUGCUUCAUCAGUUCAAGCAUAUCAGAUGUUUGGUGAUGCGGUGGUGUUCGAUACUACACAUCGCUUGACUUCUUUUGACAUGCCUCUUGGAAUUUGGGUUGGAAUAAAUAAUUAUGGAAUGCCUUGUUUCUUUGCCUGUGUACUUAUGCGUCAGGAAAGUUUGAGCUCAUUAUCAUGGGCUUUAAAGGUAUUUGUAAACUUUAUGAAUGGUAAGGCUCCGCAGACAAUAUUGACGGAUCAAAAUAUGUUCCUCAAAGAGGCGGUGACAGUGGAGAUGCCAACCACUAAACAUGUGUUGUGCAUAUGGCUGGUUGUAGCAAAGUUUCCAUCCUGGUUUAAUGCUGUCCUGGGAGAACGGUACAAUGAGUGGAAGGCAGAGUUCUAUCGACUUUAUAACUUAGAGUCCGUUGACGAGUUUGAGUUGAGUUGGAGGGAUAUGAUUAGUUCUUUUGGUUUACACACUAACAGGCAUAUUGCCAAUUUGUUUGCCUUAAGGUCACUCUGGGCAUUAUCGUACUUGAAAAGCCAUUUCAUGGCUGGUUUGACAACUACCAGCCAAUCAAAGUCAAUCAAUGCUUUUAUACAACGUUUUCUUAGUGCACAAACACGGCUUGCUCAUUUUGUGGAACAAGUUGCUGUAGCUGUUGAUUUUAAAGAUCAGGCUGGAGAGCAACAAACAAUGCAACAGAAUUUACAAAACAUUAGCCUGAAAACUGGAGCACCAAUGGAAACCCAUGCUGCAUCAGUCCUCACGCCCUUUGCAUUCUCCAAGCUACAGGAGCAACUUGUUCUGGCUGCCCACUAUGCUUCUUUCCAGAUGGAAGAUGGUUUUCUUGUGCGACACCACACCAAACUCCAGGGAGGCCAGAAAGUGUACUGGGACCCACAAGAAGGCAUCGUUAGUUGCAGCUGCGACCAGUUUGAGUUCUCAGGUAUCAUAUGUCGGCAUGCCCUCCGAGUUCUUUCAACUGGAAAUUGCUUUCAGAUCCCUGAAAGAUAUCUUCCUCUGAGAUGGCGGCGGGUCAAUUCAUCUGCCUCGAAGCCCCAGGGCACUCUUAAUGACCAUGGAGAAAAAGUUCAACGGUUGCAGAGCAUGGUAUCUACACUGGUUUCAGAGUCCUCAAAAUCAAAGGAACGCUUAGAUUUAGCAACUGAGCAAGUAUCUAUCCUUUUGUUAAGGAUCAGGGAGCAGUCGGUUUCGACCACGUUAGUUUCAAGAGAUGCCACCAUGCAUAGGAAUUUUAGUUAAACCUCUACAGUUGGUGUCAUACUUUUCCCUUAUUGAUUGAACCCAAUAAGGAAUCCAUUGGUUAAAAGGCAAGAACUAUCGCUUGGAGGGUCUGAUCUGAAGUCAAACUUUUGGGGUUUUUAACUCGGGUUUGGUGAACAGUAGAUUCUAGGAUCCUUCAGCUUGGUUGCAGGUCAUUUUUUAUUAUUGUAUCUUAUUUGUUUUCCAGUGAAGUCGGAAAAGGAGGCGGUGUUGGUCGACCAUUUUCUCGUUGAAGCUCUUCAAAACCUUCGUCAUCGUUUAACCAAAAGAGGAAGAGGAUGAGUUGGAGAUGGAAAUUGUUGAGGAGCGGGCGGCGGAAGGCGAGGGAGCAGGAGAAGCUUGAAGAGAGUGGAUGAACUCGUAUAUUGAUUGCUUCAAAGGGAUUAUCUGGUAAUUACCAAGUCGCGUGCCGAGAAUGAUGUUGUUGGUGUGACUGUCACUCUUGGGACUUUGACUACUUGAGGGAGAUUGGGGUUUGAAAAAAUGGCAGAGGGAACAGACGAGCUUAAACAACACUCCCAACAAAAUGAUGUCAGACCAAAACAGAAACUGGGAUUACCUCUGAUUCUCCAAAACUUUUGCUGGAAUGUGUUUUAAAUCAAAGAACGGGCGGUUGUAUAGUGGUUAUUUAACCUAUCUUUUAAGUUUUAAUUUAUUGAGCUUGUGAUUUUGGAGAGAAUAUAUAUAUAUAUAUAUAUAUAUAUAUGUAUAUAUAUAUAUAUAUGAUGUAAAUAGAGGUAAAAUUUAAAGAUCGAAAGAAUACAUAAAUUAAAUAGUGUAUUAAUGUUGAGUGUUAAUCGGGAAGAUGGAGUGGAAGAUGUUGAAUGAAUAGAUGGUGAAUUUUUGCUGGGAUUACCUCUGAUUCUCCAAA